GGGAGUACGACCGCAAGGUUAAAACUCAAAUGAAUUGACGGGGACCCGCACAAGUAGUGGAGCAUGUGGUUUAAUUUGAAGAUACGCGCAGAACCUUACCAACACUUGACAUGUUCGUCGCGACUCUAAGAGAUUAGAGUUUUCGGUUCGGCCGGACGAAACACAGGUGCUGCAUGGCUGUCGUCAGCUCGUGUCGUGAGAUGUUGGGUUAAGUCCCGCAACGAGCGCAACCCUCACUUUUAGUUGCCAUCAUUAAGUUGGGCACUCUGAAAGAACUGCCAGUGAUAAGCUGGAGGAAGGUGGGGAUGACGUCAAGUCCUCAUGGCCCUUACGUGUUGGGCUACACACGUGCUACAAUGGUAUCUACAACAGGAAGCAAGACUGCGAAGUUAAGCAAAUCCCUAAAAGAUACCUCAGUUCGGAUUGCACUCUGCAACUCGAGUGCAUGAAGCUGGAAUUACUAGUAAUCGUGGAUCAGCGUGCCACGGUGAAUGCGUUCCCGGGUCUUGUACACACCGCCCGUCACACCAUGGGAGUUGGUUCUACCUUAAGGCAAGGUUUCAAACCCUUGACCACGGUAUAGUCAGCGACUGGGGUG
RNAcentral lists this ribosomal RNA (598 nucleotides) under uncultured bacterium. RNAcentral describes it as "bacterial SSU rRNA". It matches the Rfam family "Bacterial small subunit ribosomal RNA", at positions 876 to 1482 of the family's 1533-position model. The record is from RNAcentral.